UAGGUGGCGGAAUUGGUAGACGCACCACAUUCAAAAUGUGGCGAUAUCCAUUAUCUUGAGGGUUCGAACCCCUUUCU
This 77-nucleotide transfer RNA is filed under the name Pavlova gyrans. It matches the Rfam family "tRNA", at positions 5 to 66 of the family's 71-position model. Rfam says of the family: Transfer RNA (tRNA) molecules are approximately 80 nucleotides in length. Their secondary structure includes four short double-helical elements and three loops (D, anti-codon, and T loops). Lineage: Eukaryota; Haptophyta; Pavlovophyceae; Pavlovales; Pavlovaceae. The record is from RNAcentral.